UUUUACAGUAACGUACUCCAUACCUGUUUUUGGUUAGAAUUAAUUGCUUCUUUUUUAUCCCUCUAAUUUUUUUGUCGUUUUAUGAGUCGAAAAAUAUCAGAAAGUCCUUCUUAUCAAUGAUCUUCAAAUCCUAUUACCCAAAAAAAAAAAGAAAAAAAAAAACUGAUUUUCAAAUCCAAAACAUGCUAAGGAAGUUGCUUAGUUUCAACUACAUUUGAUAUUACUCGGUUUAUCGAUUAGUCUUAUAACAAACAAAACUUUUUUCAACCCAUCUUAAAUACAUUAAUUGUUUAACGUUGCAGCUAGAUAAACUGCAGAGUCGGAAAAAAAAAGAAAAAAGAAAGAAAGAAAAGAAAAAAGAAAAAAGACUGAUUUUGUCUCGUGGAGAAACUCAACCCCACCCCCCACAAAAAAAAAAAAAAAAAAAAAAAAAAAAAAAAGAAAAAGAAGUGUAAAAUGUAUAACCUUUUUGUGAGAGAUAGAGAGUCAAAACUAAAACAUAAAACGUUUUUUGGGCAACAAACCAAAACAGAUUUUGAUAAAGUAGUUCUAAAUUAGUCUCUCACGGGAAGCUUGCCUUAUUAAUGUUGCCGCCUGUCAAUCCCCAGAGAGAGAUUCCCUCAUUUAAUGUGGUGGUCUUCCUGGUUCGGUAGGACAGUGAGUAUCACGAUCAUGAACGAUCCCUUUGCUGGGUCUCAGAUUUUGAAUUUUUGGCUUUCCCUUAAUUAUUUUCAACCAUAAAGACCAUUUCCUAUACCUCUUAAAAUCACUAACUUGUCCUUGCCAAAUAUCAAUCAUCAUGGUGCAGAUUCAGCUUUAUCUUUUCUAUAUAUAAAGCAAGGUUAUUUUGGGUUUUUUAGAUGUAUUUUUGGUUUGGGCACUUCUGGGUAGGUGGUUUUUAUUAGGUCAUUAUGGUUGAGAAGAGAUCAAAGAAAAGGAAAUUUAAAAUAAAAAAAAAUAAAAAAUAAAAAGAUUGGAGGGAGAAUAAUGGGAUUAAAUGCUCUGGCCCAUCUUUCUGCUUUGGUAGUCGCGGUUUUAAAUGCUCAUGCAGACCCUCUUUCCCCUCUUAAAUCCGAUCCAGACAUUCUCACCUCUCUCACACUUUCUUCAAAGUUUUCUUUUUUAUUAACUUACUCAUUUCUCUUUCCCUAUCUCUCUAGUUUUCUUUCUUUGGUCUUGUUCUUCAAUCUUUUUCUCUGUCUUUCUUUUAUGUUUAUUCAAUUUCUUCUUUUUCUUCCCUUUCAUUUGGAAAAUGAUCAUAGUGUUUCAUAAAUCUUUAUGGGGCCCUGUUCAACCUGACUGCUAAGGAGUUCGAAGUAUCACUUUGUUUAUUCCACAUCCUGAUUUCAAUAUACACAUGUAUUUAUAUAUGAAAUAGUCACUGUGAUAUUGGCCUGGUUCACUCAGACAGAACACACAUAUAUGUGUUUUUUUUUUUUUUUUUUUUUUGGGACAAAAUUUUGAAUGUGGUUCUGAUUUGAUUGAGCCGUGCCAAUAUCUCAGUGCUCUUUCAUUUCUCUCUAAACUCUCAUAUACCCCCGUCUGUGCAAGAGAAUUGGUGUGUUGCAAAGUGCGGUUAUGGACAUGAAACAGUAACCAUAUACAUAUAUCCUUAUAAGUUGGGUUCGUGAAGCAUUUAUUAUUAUCUUUUGUUUGUUUGUUUAUUUCUGAACUAUAUUUAUUAAUUAAUUAAUUUUUUGCGUUUGAGUUAGAAAUUUUUCGAAUGGGUUGGCAAAAGAUGAGGACUACUGAAAACAAAGUUAAAAGUACCUUACACGUAAAAGUUGCCUCCCGGCAGCAAUAUAUCCAAAGUAAACGCAAGCCACGUUCUCAGGCCCCAUGCAUGAUUGCCUGCCGAUUGAUUAUCUUGAUUAGAGAAAAAAAAAUUAUAAGUUUAAGCAUAUAUAUACUUUUAUUUGUUCUCCAACAAAAACUGUAAAUCUUGGGGUGGUCUCUAAAGCAAGAAAUUAUUAUUAGCAUUACUAAUUCUGUAUGUACUUUGUUGGAAUAUUAACUCUUUGUUAAUAAAUGGUUUCACCAAUUAAAGCUAAAUCAUAACCAAUUUUCCUUUUAUAAUGAAACAACUCUUAUGUAUUCCUUCCUUGCUGUAGUGAUUGAUUUUUUGAAAAUUUGUCUUCUUUUUUUUUUUUUUUUUAUGAUUGCGAUAUCUCAGACCAUUAUAAGUUCCUAUUAUUAUUAUUUUUAUAUUGUAUUACAUUUAAUUUCCUAUGUUAAUCUAUGUUAAAUAUAUAUAUAAAUUGUAAUUGAAUGCUGCUUAUGGGAAGAAAUUUUUGGGUAUAAUAAUUCGAAAAGGGUGUGAGAGUAUGGUCAACUAAUUAGGUUUUCCUGGAAUGUAAUGGAUUUAUCAGAUCAAGAGACUAUCGACCCCAAGUUUAAACAGUCCACCAUAUAAAGUGCUGGUGGCAGAUAUUGCUCUUGCUGCCAUUAUUCUCUAAACUAAGCAAAUUUUCAGAUAUUUUGGGAGUUCAAAUCUUCCAUCAACUUCAGCAAAAUUAUUUCUAUAUAUGAUAGGAUGUAGCUAUCAAAUUGUUAUGCGUUAUGUUAGUUUGUAGCUAGAUAGGUUUGAAACUUUGAACCAACUAGAAAGCCUGGACCAUUAUUCUUUUUUCGCCGGAAGCCUGGACCAUCAUUCGUGAAUAUAUAUAUAUAUAUAUAUUUCACAUCUCUAUGGGAAUUUCUCUUUGUUUCUUGUCUUUUCUGUUUUUUGGGGCCCAAAAAUAAAUAAAAGAUGCGAAAAAUUAACAUUUA
Ziziphus jujuba (common jujube) is the source of this 2769-nucleotide long non-coding RNA. RefSeq lists it as uncharacterized. The record is from RefSeq and is a predicted model, not a curated record. Lineage: Eukaryota; Viridiplantae; Streptophyta; Magnoliopsida; Rosales; Rhamnaceae. The transcript has 2 exons.